UUUAUGCUAUUACACUCUCAUAAUUUCCAGGGAGCACUAGGUACCUUCUUGGCCCUUAUACUGAACAUCAAAACUCCAUCCUACAUUGUCUUUCUGUCACCUCCCUGAAAAAAUAUGCUUGAUAUUAGAAAACCAAGAUGUAUUUGUAACUGUUUUUCUGCAAUUUUAUAAGGAAAGAGACCACCAAUUUUUGCAAUUAUUUCUAAACAAGUUUAUCUAAACAAAGCCAUUAACAAAACAGGGCAGUUCAUCUCUUUAUAUCAAAUCAAACCAUCCAUCUACAUGCAAAUACAGAAAAAAGUCAGAAGGUUCCCCAUGGACAAUUCCUUCCUUACAGAGAAUCUAUCAUUUGAAAAGCAAAAACGACAGGAAUAUCCUAGAGAGUGAAUAUUCUUUAACUAUUCAAAUAAAAAUUAGAAUCCUACUUUUUGCUAUUAAAAAUUUAUUACUCUUACCUCAUUAUUACUAAGACAUUAGAAUGGCUUUUUCAAAACAUUCCAAUGGCCUUCCAAACUGCAAAACCUGCCAAACUCUUUGACUCAGUUGCCAUAAAACAUUUCUAAAUUGCUGGAACGAGAUCCAAAUUUUGUUUUAUAAAAGUAUAAAAAGGAUAUGAGUAAAACCUUGAGCUGAUUCACUGUGAAUGUAACAUGUGUUAAAGGGUUUCCGGGUCCUGUUACUCAUUAGGAGAAAAUAGCAAUCCAGAUAUGCAGAUAUAUUAUGGUGGCUCCACAGAUUUAGUCUCAUCCUAUUGUUUUUGGUGCUUUUCCCUUUCAUCUAAUCAUCUGCAUCUGGCUUUUCCCUAAGUAAACCCAUGUAUUCCAAAACCAAGUAAAUGAAAGCAGUUCCAUCAAUAAAAGUGUGUACUUUCUCUAGUAAUAUUAACCACACACUUUUCUCUUUGUCAACAGAGCAAAUUGGACCACAGAGAACACAAACCUCUGGAAUUCUCAACAAUUCAGCUGUAUUACUAUUAAAUUUGGACUAGUUCUAUCAUUUGAGAAGACAAUAAUGUAAGUUACAGCUGAAUUUAUACCCAGGUUGUACAAAGAGCUAUAGAAGAUUCUCAAGGGUUUUUUUGAAGCUUAUUCUGAACAUUUCAGUUUUCUCUGAGUUUUACAGCCUAGCAAGUAUUUACAAGCUGUUCAGUAGUUAAUAUAGUCCAUAUAAUCAACCAAGCAACCAUCAUGAUACUCACACUUAAAUAUUUGACAAAACAUGUCUUUUGCUGCAGGUGCUCAGCAGACUAACCCAGUUCAGGUGUGGGAUCUCUAUCAUGUACACAUAAGAUAAUUCCUGCCUUUCCAGAUAAGCUUUGCAAGAGAUUCUGGGAGUUUAUCUCCAUAGGUUCACAGUCUGCCUUCAGGCACACAGAGGAAAUUCUGGGAAUGCACAGGCAGAGUAACAACUCCUCUGUAGCCCAGCCCCAUCCUGCUGGGAAGCAGCAAGAACAGCAGCUCACACCAAUGUCCCACUCAGCUCUUCCCUUACCUGCCCCUGCCUACCCUGAAAGCAGCUCCAAGCUCCACUCAGAGGGUUUUGGGAAGUGUGUUUGGGAAGGGAACUAGACAAUAAUACCUGGGGAAGUGUAGGAGUGAAGCCUGCAAAAGGAUCAGCAGCUAAUUCAUGCUCAUCUGCCCUUCUGGAGCCUCAGCAGUCCCAGAGCUGCAGCUUAGUGGAAGGUAACACAAGGCUUAAUAUUUGUUUGGCAGAGUUGUUGGGUUUUUGUUUCUGUUUGUUUGGUUCUUUGUUUGUUUGGUUGGGGUUUUUUGUUUAAACUUAAGGCUGGAAUUACAGACAAGUAUAAAACAAGUUGAAUUCUUAUUACAGCUUGUGAUGUUCAUGUAAAGUGGAACUUUCAAGUUUGGGUAGUGCUGGGGGAGUGAGGGCUGUUUUGACCUCCUUUGUACAGAACAGCACUUCCAUGCUUUUGCUCUCAGUUUUCAAAAAAGCAGAGGGAGUUUUUUUUUGGUUUUUUUUUUUUUUUUUUGUUAGUAUUUGUAACUUUCAAACAAAGCCAAAAGUGAUCCAUUGCUUUGGAGCACUGUGUGGGAGGGAGGUGUUGCUAAAAAAUAUCCCAAGAUCCUCUUCAAAAUAAACCCUGCAAUCUCUUUUGCCCCACCACUUGUGGCUUUGUUUUUGCCAGCACACUGAUUUUUUUAAAAUGAUUUUUUAGUUUCUUUUUUCCUAUUUGACUGUAAUGUAGAACAAAUAUUUACUCUCAAACAGAAACAACAUUCUUUGAAUUGUUUUGCUGACUCUAUUCCUU
Oenanthe melanoleuca is the source of this 2269-nucleotide long non-coding RNA. RefSeq lists it as uncharacterized. Lineage: Eukaryota; Metazoa; Chordata; Aves; Passeriformes; Muscicapidae. The transcript is spliced from 2 exons. The record is from RefSeq and is a predicted model, not a curated record.